GGGUAUAUAGCUCAGUGGUAGAGCACGUAUCUAGCAUACACAAAGUCAUGGGUUCAAUCCCCAGGACAUCCA
This 72-nucleotide transfer RNA is filed under the name Camelus dromedarius (Arabian camel). It matches the Rfam family "tRNA". From Rfam's summary of the family: Transfer RNA (tRNA) molecules are approximately 80 nucleotides in length. Their secondary structure includes four short double-helical elements and three loops (D, anti-codon, and T loops). Lineage: Eukaryota; Metazoa; Chordata; Mammalia; Artiodactyla; Camelidae. RNAcentral also lists the same sequence under 1 other name. The record is from Rfam by way of RNAcentral.